CCUACGGGUGGCAGCAGUCGAGAAUCAUUCACAAUGGGGGAAACCCUGAUGGUGCGACGCCGCGUGGGGGAAUGCAGGUCUUCGGAUUGUAAACCCCUGUCAUGUGGGAGCAAAUUAAAAAGAUAGUACCACAAGAGGAAGAGACGGCUAACUCUGUGCCAGCAGCCGCGGUAAUACAGAGGUCUCAAGCGUUGUUCGGAAUCACUGGGCGUAAAGCGUGCGGGGGCUGUUUCGUAAGUCGUGUGUGAAAGGGGCGGGCUCAACCCGCGGACGGCACAUGAUACUGCGAGACUAGAGUAAUGGAGGGGGAACCGGAAUGCUCGGUGUAGCAGUGAAAUGCGUAGAUAUCGAGAGGAACACUGGUGGCGAAGGCGGGUUCCUGGACAUUAACUGACGCUGAGGCACGAAGGCCAGGGGAGCGAAAGGGAUUAGAUACCCGUGUAGUC
RNAcentral lists this ribosomal RNA (446 nucleotides) under uncultured bacterium. RNAcentral's name for it is "partial 16S ribosomal RNA". It matches the Rfam family "Bacterial small subunit ribosomal RNA", at positions 338 to 795 of the family's 1533-position model. The record is from RNAcentral.